AUGCUCAGUGCUUUUAGUGUUGAGGCUGUUACCGAAAUCCCCCCAAAAUAUUGCUGUGGAGCUCACAGAAUCACAGAAUAUCCUGAAUUGGAGGGGACCAUCCAAGUCCAGCUCCUGCUAGUUACGUUUUCCAGCUCAGGAUCAGAGCAUGCAGCAGGGAAAGUUCCUAUGCAUCAAAUGCCUUUGGGCAUUUUGGCAGAUGCACAAAAAAUUGUUAGAAAUUGCUUAAUGUGCUCCCCAGUAACUAGACGAGCAAGUGGUGGUCAGAGCCUGUGCACCUCAUAUGAAGGAGCAUCCUCUCCCCUUUGCAGGCUGGGCCAGGCUGCCGUGCUGGCACGCCGAUGCUCCUGGCUGUGCUGGAGUGCUGCAUCUCCACGAGGAGAAGACAUCUCCAAGGCCAAAUUCCAGCUUCUGAAGUGCCGUACCUCUCUCCUACUUCAAUGGGAGCCUUUCACAUUUAUCCCAAGGCGUAACACGGCCCUUACAGCGUUUGAAACGAGAUGUGCUGAUCAGAGCAUCGCUCGGCAGCCGCCGUCGCUGUGCUCCUCAAAGGACGGCUCCGAGAGGGGGCUGGGAGUUGGAGCUGGGAGCAUUUCGGUGCUCAGCAUGCCUUUUGCUGGGGCGUUGUGCUUGUUGGAGCUCUCUUUGAGUGACCUGGAAGCAGAUGUUGGCUUGUAGGGUCGUGAAGCGCCUUGGUGGGGUCGAUGGGCUUGGUGGGAGGUCUGUGAUGGGUCUGUGGGUCACGCCUGUGAGUAUGUACGAUGGGCUGGAGCAGGGAGGUGAACACACAAGGUCAAUCUGAGUUCUUGCCUUGUUUUGUUGUUGUUGUUGCGUAUGUGUUUGUUUUCUUUUUAGCUAGAAUGGUGCAAUACCCGAGGACGCUGUUAAAAGAUUGUUGCACCUGAUAUUUGAGGCUGAGAGUGCCUCUGGCCAGGAAUUCAGUAUUUUCAGUUCUUGCUGAAGCCAGCAACAACCGCAAAUCUGUUAUACAUCCUUGAAGGUGCUCAGCACCCAUUGCAGGAGGGUGCAAGCCUUGCACAGCGCUGUCUGAUCGAUGUCGGGGAGAGACGUGUGCCUGAGUGCUGCGGGAGGCGUGGUCAGGCUGCUGUUCCGAUCCUAAUCGCUCCUCGGAGAGAGCUCCCUUUGUGGAACAGGAGUUAAGCAUUUCGUUACGGGAAUUCCUUUGCUUGUUUUUGAGUUUUUUCCUCGACCUCAUGGUCUUGGGGAAAUCGUACAUGCCAUAGGGAGGACGAGUGAGGGACGGGACAGAUGUUGCUGGUGAGGGUUUGUGCUGCUGGUCCCUGCGAGAGGUACCUGGAGGCGCAGGAUCUGUGCGGGGCUUGGCAGAGGAUCAGCCACAAGUCCUGGCAGUGACACGUUGUGCUCUUAGAAAUGCCUUUCCUUCUCUAAAUGCUUUCUUCCAGAGGAUAAAACUUUAGGAUGGUGGCGUCGGGUGGCGGGGGGUUGUCUGGAGGGCAGGGCUGUGCCCAGAGCUCUGCCCUGGUCUCUUGCUUGCUUUGGGCAGGUGGAAUCAGAGCUGGCUUGGAGCCGGGUACCUACCCACCACGGUACCCCCUGAGCCUUCAGACCUUUGCAAAAUGGAUAAAAGCCCCUCCACGCUCUGAAGUGAAGCCUUGAAAUGAGGGAGAUUGGCGGCUUCAGUCUGCAAAGAUGGUCAGAAAACCUGGUGUGAUGGGGUGGCCUCGGGAGACGUGCAGGACGUCGGUCGGUGUCUGCAACCCAGCUGUCGGUUUUGGCCAAGCCUUUUCAGUCCUCCCCUUGCCAGGGCCCUCGAGUGGUAUGAGAGAGGGGACAAAUGAGUAACGGGGUGGUGACCUAAGACGGUGUGAGCUUGGAGGGUGAGUUUGUAGGCAGAGCCCCUGUAACUACUCGAACAGCGUAGCACCAAAUACCCACGGUGGGGGCAUGGGGCUGAGGGCGGGCAGGGAGGAGAGGCAGUGAUAACUCUAUCCAGUGAAGCAGGUUGUCCCUGGAAAUAGAACAUGAAUAAGUAAUCCGGAUAAAUAAUGGAGCUGUCUGAACUGUAACAAUAAAGAAUAAAAGUGCUGAGUGUGGCUUGCGGUG
This 2085-nucleotide long non-coding RNA is filed under the name Anser cygnoides (Swan goose). RNAcentral's name for it is "lncRNA (ENSACDG00005011369.1)". Lineage: Eukaryota; Metazoa; Chordata; Aves; Anseriformes; Anatidae. The record is from RNAcentral.